This 463-nucleotide ribosomal RNA is filed under the name uncultured bacterium. RNAcentral's name for it is "partial 16S ribosomal RNA". It matches the Rfam family "Bacterial small subunit ribosomal RNA", at positions 29 to 507 of the family's 1533-position model. The record is from RNAcentral.
AGUGAACGCUGGCGGCGUGCUUAAUACAUGCAAGUCGAACGAUGAAGUCCUAGCUUGCUAGGCUGGAUUAGUGGCGCACGGGUGAGUAAUAUAUAGUUAAUCUGCCUUGCGCUGAGGAACAACAGUUGGAAACGAUUGCUAAUACCUCAUACUCCAACUUUACAUAAGUUAAGUUGGGAAAGUCUUUUCGGUGCAAGAUGAGACUAUAUCGUAUCAGCUAGUUGGUAAGGUAAUGGCUCACCAAGGCUAUGACGCGUAACUGGUCUGAGAGGAUGCCCAGUCAGAUGGGAAGUGAGGCACGGGCCGAGCGCCUGCGGGAGGGGGCAGGAAGGGAGAGUGGGCGAGGGGGGGAGCGCUGACGCGGCAACGGCGCGUGGAGGAGGACAGUUUGCGGAGCGUAAACUCCUUUUGUUAGGGAAGAAUAAUGACGGUACCUAACGAAUAAGCACCGGCUAACUCCGUG